CCUACGGGGGGCAGCAGUGAGGAAUAUUGGUCAAUGGGCGGAAGCCUGAACCAGCCAAGUAGCGUGCGGGAUGAAGGCCCUACGGGUCGUAAACCGCUUUUGCACGGGGAUAACACCCUCCACUUGUGGAGGUCUGCAGGUACCGUGCGAAUAAGGGCCGGCUAAUUCCGUGCCAGCAGCCGCGGUAAUACGGAAGGCCCGAGCGUUAUCCGGAUUCAUUGGGCUUAAAGGGAGCGUAGGCGAGCGUUCAAGUCAGCUGUAAAAUCGCGCGGCUCAACCGCGCCCCGCAGUUGAAACUGGACGCAUUGAGUUCACAACAGGCAGGCGGAAUUCGUGGUGUAGCGGUGAGAUGCAUAGAUAGCACGAGGAACCCCGAUUGCGAAGGCAGCCUGCCGGGGUGCGACUGACGCUGAGGCUCGAAGGUGCGGGUAUCAAACAGGAUUAGAUACCCUUGUAGUC
Molecule: ribosomal RNA, 459 nt
Filed under: uncultured bacterium
Lineage: Bacteria
Description: partial 16S ribosomal RNA
Rfam family: Bacterial small subunit ribosomal RNA
Source: RNAcentral